GUCGAACAGUCUAAUAUUGCAAAACCAUGAAUUGACUUGCCAAACAGACAGCAACUAUACAUGAGGAAGGAUAUUCGAAAGCAUAUAUACACAAUAUCUGGUCACUCAGUGUACCUACAGGGCUCUAACUCAAACUGGAUCAGCUUCUGGCAAAUCUCUUCAAAACAAUAUAGAGACAAAAAACAAAAGAAUGGGCACAAGGAGAUCCGCUCCACCACGGGGACAGCUAUAAUUUCCCAAUAUUUCUGAUGUUGGUAGAGCUGGCAAAGACAUCUCAGGAGCACAAAGAGUCAAGGAUGUGGCUGCCGAUGAUGAAGGCCAUGGAGCAGCAAUAUUGUCAUUUAAGUCGCAAGUAAAGCUGAAACCUGUUGAGUUGUCAUACACCAGAUCUGCUGGAUAACUUCGAAGCAAGCACCCUUCUUCUUGCCCGUAUGCCUGGAGACUGAAGUCUUUCAGGUCAACAUCACAAAGCUCGUAAACAUUCGUCAUGACCCCGGCCUUCUGUAACAUAAAACCAAAUGCCGCAGCACAUAUAAUUGCUUGUCGAUUUGUAAUCAACAUCUGCUUCUGUAUCCCAGAAAUAUAGGCAUUUAAUGAGCUACAACACGAAGGGCUUGGAGCGGCUAAAUUUCUGCACGCAUUGACCACUUCUAAUGGCUGCUUGAAUUCCAGGGGACACACUUUAUUAACUUUGCAGGAAGACAAUAACCGGAAUGCAGAAUUGGCAUCAUCAAAUUGUAGUUUUCUUGCAAUCCAUGAGUAGACCACUCCUUUACAGUCGCUAAGUGUAUCAAUUUCAUUUGGUACUCCAACUAUGUUCUUACCACCAAGAGCCGUCUUGAUCCCUGAAAUCAGAAGAGCAGCCUCCGAAAUUGCAGGCUGGCAAACAGGCCUACAACAUUCUUUAAGAGAAUCGAC
This 918-nucleotide unclassified non-coding RNA is filed under the name Hevea brasiliensis (rubber tree). Lineage: Eukaryota; Viridiplantae; Streptophyta; Magnoliopsida; Malpighiales; Euphorbiaceae. The record is from RNAcentral.